ACCACUCUCUUUUAGUUAUUAUUUUGAGAAAAUUACAACUAAGCCUGUUCUUAGAGUUUGUAUUUCAUUAGUCAUAUUUUAAGUUUAAUCUUUCACAAUUCAGGUCACAUUUAUUAAUAAAUAUAUCCUAACUCUCUCUCCAGAAUACAUAUACCUUCUACCCUAUCCCUACGACCCACGGCCCACUCACUUACCUCAGUUGCAGAAAUCACAAAUCUCUUUCUACCAAAUAAAUUUUCUCUCUCUAAUACAACUUUCUCUCUCUACUAUAGAUGCACUCUUCGCCUUCCCAAUGUCCUUGUUGACACGACCAUCUCUGACUCUUUCCUCAUUAAGAGAUUCACACUGCAGCCGCCUCGACCAGAUGCUUUUUUGUCGACGUUCCUAUCUUCGUUGGAAAUUGAGGCUACCGCUCCGCCUCCCUUUCCAUAUUCGCUGGUUGCUAUUUUGGGCACCGCUUAAUUGGAUUGCUAUUUUAGGUUGUGUGGUGGUGGGUUGGAUGACCACCUGCUUGUGUUGCUGUUUUGGGUUGUGGUGGUGGUGGUGUGGUGAUGGUAUUGGUAAAAGUGGUGUUGGGACAAAAUGGGUCAGAUAAAAUGAGGUUUGGAAGUGGCGGCGGCGGUGGUGGUAGUGUGGUUAUGGUAUUGGUAAAAGUGGUGUUGGGACAGAAUGGGUAAGAUGAAAUGAGGUUUGGAAGUAGUGGUGGUCGGACGAAAUGGAUCGGAUGAACUGCUGUGUAGCAGUUUCUCCAUCUUCCUCUAUUUUCAUCGUUGUUCAGCCUUCUCCAGUAGCGGUGCUCCAGCAGUCUUCACUACUAUGUAGAGGUGUUUGUGCGAUGGUGUGUAGAUCUGUGUUGGUGUAUAGAGCGUUUAUGCGAUGGUGUCUUUGUUGACCGUAUAUGAUUUUCAGCGUAGAUUGUUAUUGUGGAUUUAGGGUGAAUUUAGUAUUUAUGGUCGUCAAUUUAAGUGAAAGGUAUAAGUGGUGGUACUAAGGAGGUGAUAGUGGUGG
Molecule: long non-coding RNA, 1008 nt
Filed under: Olea europaea subsp. europaea
Lineage: Eukaryota; Viridiplantae; Streptophyta; Magnoliopsida; Lamiales; Oleaceae
Source: RNAcentral